Small nucleolar RNA from Tripterygium wilfordii, 90 nucleotides. RefSeq annotates it as small nucleolar RNA R11/Z151. The record is from RefSeq and is a predicted model, not a curated record. Lineage: Eukaryota; Viridiplantae; Streptophyta; Magnoliopsida; Celastrales; Celastraceae. The transcript has a single exon.
GGGCUUAUGAUGAUAAUUUUAAUUAACUUAGCGGAUUUCAGUGAGACUCAUUUUGUGUCAGUGAUCUGAUUGUUACACACACUGAAGCCC